RNAcentral lists this ribosomal RNA (1157 nucleotides) under uncultured Russulaceae. Its description in RNAcentral is "eukaryotic LSU rRNA". The stretch from base 653 to 1157 matches the Rfam family "Eukaryotic large subunit ribosomal RNA", at positions 1 to 513 of the family's 3401-position model. Lineage: Eukaryota; Fungi; Basidiomycota; Agaricomycetes; Russulales; Russulaceae. The record is from RNAcentral.
GCUUCGUGUGUGAGUAGUGACCUGCGGAGGAUCAUUAUUGUAAAAUGAGAGAUGCACAGGGUUGUAGCUGACCUUUUUCCAAGGGUCGUGCACGCCCAAAGUGCUCUCCUACACAUCAUCUAUUUCACCCCUUUGUGCAUUGCCGCGUGGGAUCCCCUUUUGGCUUGUCCUGAAGGGGGCCUGCGUUUUUACAUAGACACCCUUUGAAUGCAUGUGUAGAAUGUCUUGCUUUUUGCGAUCACACGCAAUCAAUACAACUUUCAACAACGGAUCUCUUGGCUCUCGCAUCGAUGAAGAACGCAGCGAAAUGCGAUACGUAAUGUGAAUUGCAGAAUUCAGUGAAUCAUCGAAUCUUUGAACGCAUCUGGUGCCCCUUGGUAUUCCGAGGGGCACACCCGUUUGAGUGUCGUGAACACCCUCAACCUUCUGGGUUUCUUGACCAGGAAGGCUUGGACUUUGGAGGUUUAAACUUGCUGGUGUCUUUUGAAAACCAGCUCCUCCUAAAUGAAUUGGUGGGGUCCACUAUUGCUGAUCCUUGACGUGAUAAGUAUUCCUUCUACGUCUUGGGUUUUGCAGUGUUACCUUGGAACCUGCCCUCUAACUGUCUUUGAAUGAAGACAAUGUUCGAGUUACGACUCGACCCUACAGACCUUGACCUCAAAUCGGGUGAGACUACCCGCUGAACUUAAGCAUAUCAAUAAGCGGAGGAAAAGAAACUAACAAGGAUUCCCCUAGUAACUGCGAGUGAAGCGGGAAAAGCUCAAAUUUAAAAUCUGGUGGCCUCUGGUCAUCCGAGUUGUAAUUUAAAGAAGCGUCUUCCGCGUUGGACCGUGCACAAGUCUCCUGGAAUGGAGCGUCAUAGAGGGUGAGAAUCCCGUCUUUGGCAUGGACCCCAGUGCUUUGUGAUACGCUCUCGACGAGUCGAGUUGUUUGGGAAUGCAGCUCAAAAUGGGUGGUGAACUCCAUCUAAAGCUAAAUAUUGGCGAGAGACCGAUAGCGAACAAGUACCGUGAGGAAAGAUGAAAGCACUUUGGAAGAGAGUGAAACAGUACGUGAAAUGUGAAGGAAACGCUGAGUCAGUCACAUUGACAGACUCAGCUGCUGCUGUGUACUCUGCUGAUGGUCAGCAUCAUGUGAUCCUCGAUAUGGGUAGGGAA